Molecule: ribosomal RNA, 253 nt
Filed under: uncultured bacterium
Lineage: Bacteria
Description: partial 16S ribosomal RNA
Rfam family: Bacterial small subunit ribosomal RNA
Source: RNAcentral
GACAGAGGGUGCAAACGUUGUUCGGAAUUACUGGGCGUAAAGCGCGUGUAGGCGGCCCUGUAAGUCGGGCGUGAAAUCCCACGGCUCAACCGUGGAAGUGCAUUCGAAACUACAGGGCUAGAGUUCUGGAGAGGAAGGUGGAAUGCUUGGUGUAGAGGUGAAAUUCGUAGAUAUCAAGCGGAACACCGGUGGCGAAGGCGGCCUUCUGGACAGUAACUGACGCUGAGACGCGAAAGCGUGGGGAGCAAACAGG